This is an RNA transcript of Nerophis ophidion (straightnose pipefish), 2399 nucleotides long. It is a transcript of the gene named zinc finger and SCAN domain-containing protein 31-like, with no coding region annotated. NCBI's taxonomy places the organism in Eukaryota, Metazoa, Chordata, Actinopteri, Syngnathiformes, Syngnathidae. The transcript has 4 exons. The record is from RefSeq and is a predicted model, not a curated record.
UCGUAAAAUAACAUGGAAAUAAAGAGGAAGUAAAGGCGGGCGCUAAUAAAUACAUCAGUGUUAUUAUUUGUUCGCUAUUUUGUAAAUACUUAUGUCGUACAAGAGGCAUAUUUAUUUAUUUCAGGGUAGAACGUCUCGGUCUGCAAGAAUCUUUGCGUUGCUUAGUUAGUCAGUACUGUGAAGCUGAGAAGCGACUCGUGCUAGUUAGCUUAGCUUGUUAGCUGCUAACAAAGAGACGCGGACGUUAUCAACACAUCGCUAAGUAGAGAUCAAAUGUGAGUGUAAAGUGUUGUGAUUGUGUGAAAAUGUGUGAAAGAACGAUAGCAGAGUACGAGGAGGAACUUUCUAGAACAAAAGAGGAGAACAAUCAACUACUGGGCGCUGUUUUCGAGAAACAUCAAGUUGUGUUACACAGAAACGACAUCCAGCAGCCCCCUCACAUUAAAAAGGAAGAGGAGGAAGUGUGGAUCACUCAGGAGGAAGAGUGUCUUCUAGGGCAGGAGGAGGCUGAUCUCAGCAAGUUUCCACUGACUGUUGUCUCUGUGAAGACUGAAGAGCAUGAAGACAAACCACCUGAGUCCUCACAGCUUCAUCACAGUCCAAACGUCCGUGAAGAAAAUCUUCUCUCUGAGCAACAGGAGUGGAGCUUCAGGAUGGUGAAGGAGGAACCACAGCCCUCUUACUUGAAAGAGGAAGACAAGAACCCACUCCCCAACCACACAAAAGACGAAGAGACCCUACACUUUAUAAAGAAAGUGAAGGAUCCACUGACCCCCACCAUUAAAUGGAACAAGGAUGAACCACUGACCCCCCACUUUAAAGAGGAAGAGGAGGCGCCACAGACCUACCACAUUAAAGAAGAGGAGGUGGAAUACAACAUCAGUCAGGAGGGAGAGCAUAUUGAAAGGGUGGCGGAGUUCCCAGUGACUGGUGUCCCUGUGACGAGUGAAGGUGAUGAGGUCAAAGGUUUCUUGUGUGUAUGACUUAUUCUGAGGGAGAACAGCACAAUUUCACGUAUGGCAUCUACCAUUAAGGAUUGCAGGAAUGACUUUUAGGAUGUUUUUAUAUGAAUAAGGUGAAUUGGAUGUUGGCCUGGGAAGGCAUUCCCCUGAAGGUCUUCUUUAUGUGUCAGCUGGAAGUACCCUGACUGCUGUGAGGGGGAAACUGAUGAGAUUAUGUCGAAGAAGAACAUCUUUCUUGUGAGCAGGAAGAGGAGCCACAGCCCCACCACAUUAAAGAGGAACAUGAGACGCCACAGACCCGUAAUGUGAAACUGACCCUUCACAUUAAAGGGCAAGCGGAGGACCCACUGAACUUACACAUCAAAAAUGAAGAGGAGGACCCACUGACCCCCUACUAUAAAGAGGAAGAGGAGGACCAAGAGUUGCCGCACAUUAAAGAGGAAGAGGAGGAACACCGCAUCAGUCAGCCUAAAUGUUUGGAGGAGUUCCCAGUGACUGGUGUCCCUGUGAAGAGUGAAUAUGAUGAGGUCAAAGGUGAAAGUGAGGAGAAGAGAGAGGAGGUGCCUCCAAGCAGCAGCUCAACACAACACAUGACAACAGAAGCUGAUGGAGACCUCUGUGGAGGAUCACAAGCAGACAAGCUCUUAGCUCCACUAUCAGAUAGUGAGGACACAACGUCACACUCUCCUGACACUGAUGAUGAAGACUCUAAAGAUGAUAAGACAUGUCACACUGACAACACUCACUUCAAAUGUUCUCUCUGUGACAAAACUUUUAAUGACCAUAGUAAUCUGAAAACACAUAUGAGAAUACACACUGGAGAAAAAGCAUUUAUCUGCUCAGUAUGUGGUAAAAGUUGUGGACUAAGUCAGAAUUUGAAAGUACACAUGAGAAUACAUACCGGAGAAAAACCUUAUGUCUGUUCAAUCUGUAGUAAAAGUUUUGUACAAAGAAACCAUUUGGAAGUACACAAGAGAACGCACACUGGUGAAAAAACGUUUUCCUGUUCAAUCUGUGGAAAAAGCUUUAGAGAAAGUCACAAUUUGAAAAGACACAUGAGAACACACACUGGUGAAAAAUCACAUUCCUGUUCAAUCUGCAACAGAAGCUUUUGUCAACGACCAAACCUUGUAGCACACAUGAGAACACACACAGGAGAGAAAGUGUUGAGUUGCAGUGUGUGUGGUGAAAGAUUCUCUUAUAAGUACCAGUGUAAGAAACACAAGUGUGCUGGUGAGAACAGCAGCAGCAAAUGAAACUGCAGGAUUUGAAAUAAACUGUCAAGACUUUAAUUUUGACUUUCUAACAACAUCAGCACGUAUAACAUAUGUGACAUUGUUGUUUGUGUAACAAUCUUUUAAUAUGCUUCUACAUUUAUAGAUUAGAUAUUUUAUAUCAGUGCUUUUUUCAGUCAAAUACAUGCAUUAUAUUAUGCAA